RNAcentral lists this ribosomal RNA (496 nucleotides) under uncultured bacterium. RNAcentral describes it as "partial 16S ribosomal RNA". It matches the Rfam family "Bacterial small subunit ribosomal RNA", at positions 28 to 506 of the family's 1533-position model. The record is from RNAcentral.
GAUGAACGCUGGCGGCGUGCCUAAUACAUGCAAGUCGAGCGAACAGACGAGGAGCUUGCUCCUCUGACGUUAGCGGCGGACGGGUGAGUAACACGUGGAUAACCUACCUAUAAGACUGGGAUAACUUCGGGAAACCGGAGCUAAUACCGGAUAAUAUAUUGAACCGCAUGGUUCAAUAGUGAAAGACGGUUUUGCUGUCACUUAUAGAUGGAUCCGCGCCGCAUUAGCUAGUUGGUAAGGUAACGGCUUACCAAGGCAACGAUGCGUAGCCGACCUGAGAGGGGGGUCGGCCACCCUGGGACUGAGACACGGUCCAGACCCCUACGGGAGGCAGCAGGAGGGAACCUUCCGCAAUGGGGGAAAGCAUGACGGAGAAACGCCGCGUGAGUGAUGAAGGUCUUCGGAUCGUAAAACUUUGUUAUUAGGGAAGAAAAAAUGUUAAAGUAACUAUGCACUUUUGGACGGUACCAAAUCAAAAAACCACGGCUAACUACGU